UGAUAUAGAUGCUUUGUGUGUUGCCCCACGUCACAUUGAAAGAACUGACUUUUUUUCAUCCUUCUUUGAAAAACUAAAACGGCAUGAUGAGAUUAAGGAUCUACGAGCUGUGGAGGAUGCAUUUGUACCAGUCAUCAAGUUCAAGUUUGAUGGAAUUGAGAUCGAUCUGCUGUUUGCCAGGCUCGCUCUA
Long non-coding RNA from Sinocyclocheilus anshuiensis, 190 nucleotides. RefSeq lists it as uncharacterized. Lineage: Eukaryota; Metazoa; Chordata; Actinopteri; Cypriniformes; Cyprinidae. The record is from RefSeq and is a predicted model, not a curated record. The transcript is spliced from 3 exons.